UGCAAUCGUUGAUAAAAAAUGAUGCAACGAUUGAGAUCCGCUUAUUCUUACUUUCCUUUUAUAUAUCAAAGAAACCCUAAUCUCCCAUUCUCAACAAUAAUAUCCCAUUCUCAACAACAAUAGCUACAUUUCAACCGCAAAGAUUGGUAUAGUGGUUCAGCAACUCAUUCGUUAAGCAAGAAGUUGGGGUUCAUUUUCACAUCUGACGAAUGCAGCAAACUCUGUGACAAAUCUCUACUCUUUCUCUAUCUUCUCUUCCUUUCUCUCUCUGUAGGCAUAGCCGCCGGCGAAUGUAAUUACCAGCCCGCCGGCAACCUCGGCACCACCAAUGUUGCUUCACCAUCACCAACACCCUCUUCAUCGAACCAUCCCAACGCCUGGACCGACGAGUUGCCGACCAGCGCCGCCCCAUUCCCUUCUUUUCUCUCUCCGGUCCCUCUCUUCCACAGAACUACAAGUUCUGCACCACCACCGGCAACCUGCCGCCGGUGGACAACAAAUACUAUACCACUCUUCUCCCUCAUACAUCAUUACUCGCCUCAAAGACAGUCCAAACAAAUUCCUCAGCCUGCCAAUGUGAUACUUAUCAAAGGCUUAAGCAGCAUUUACAAUUUCAUGAAUGAACGGAUUUUAUUGGAGAUAGAUCAGUUUCUUUCUUUUGUAUAUUGGUGUUGAUGGCUCUCUGUUUCUGCCACUAAUUUAGAUGUAGUUAUGCAGUUGAAAGGAAGACAAGUUUGCUUUACCAAAUUCAUAUACGAAGAAGGUAGAGGAAAAGGGUAUCAACGACGUAUCCUGGAUUGCCUGUUUGUUAUGUGUUGCAUACAGUGGAGGCUGCAGUGGAUGGUUUACCUGAGGAGGAGUUUUGCACGGAGGAGAUAGAUGAAUACGGUGAUUCGGGUGGGAGGAUGGUUGCUGAUGGGGCAGUUUUCUGUAAAAAGCAUUACUGGAGGUGGGUUGAUGCUGAUUCGUUAUGAUCGUUGAUGUGUGAGAGGUGAGUGAGCAGGAUUACUGCUAAACUCAUAACCGCUGCUCAGAAUGCCAUGGAUCAGUACAAGCGGUCUCUUGUGGUGGAGAGGUCUUGCUCGACUGUUGGAAGUUAAAGGAUUUGUUAAAUGAUGAACGUCCAUUCCAAGAAGACAACCAAGAGGAUGAAAGUGAUGAUGACUCUGAAGACGUGAAUGAAAGUGAUUCUGAUCUUGAUGGUUGGUAGUUUUAUUGAGGAUUCAAGUUUGAAAUAUUUUAUUUUGGACCAUUUAAGAAUCAUACAUUAUUGAUGUGGAUGUUUUGAAUUAUGUUUUUUUGUUAGUUGUAAUGAUUUACAUUAUUAGACUUGUAUGAAUGAUGUUUUUGAGAAUUAUUGAAGGUUUUGAAUAUAUUUUUGAUUAA
Molecule: long non-coding RNA, 1386 nt
Organism: Capsicum annuum
Lineage: Eukaryota; Viridiplantae; Streptophyta; Magnoliopsida; Solanales; Solanaceae
Exons: 2
Source: RefSeq, a predicted model, not a curated record